Molecule: ribosomal RNA, 433 nt
Filed under: uncultured bacterium
Lineage: Bacteria
Description: partial 16S ribosomal RNA
Rfam family: Bacterial small subunit ribosomal RNA
Source: RNAcentral
AACGAACGCUGGCGGCAUGCCUAACACAUGCAAGUCGAACGAGACCUUCGGGUCUAGUGGCGCACGGGUGCGUAACGCGUGGGAACCUGCCCUUAGGUUCGGAAUAACUCCCCGAAAGGGGUGCUAAUACCGGAUAAUGUCUUCGGACCAAAGAUUUAUCGCCUUUGGAUGGGCCCGCGUUGGAUUAGCUAGUUGGUAGGGUAAAAGCCUACCAAGGCGACGAUCCAUAGCUGGUCUGAGAGGAUGAUCAGCCACACUGGGACUGAGACACGGCCCAGACUCCUACGGGAGGCAGCAGUGGGGAAUAUUGGACAAUGGGCGAAAGCCUGAUCCAGCAAUGCCGGGUGAGUGAUGAAGGCCUUAGGGUUGUAAAGCGCUUUUACCCGGGAUGAUAAUGACAGUACCGGGAGAAUAAGCUCCGGCUAACUCCGUG